CCCUUAGACGUUCUGGGCCGCACGCGCGCUACACUGACCAGUGCAACAAGCAUCCGUCCUUGGCCGACAGGCCCGGGCAAUCUUUGAACGCUGGUCGUGAUGGGGAUAGACUUUUGCAAUUUUUGGUCUUCAACGAGGAAUUCCUAGUAAACGCAAGUCAUCAACUUGCAUUGAUUACGUCCCUGCCCUUUGUACACACCGCCCGUCGCACCUACCGAUUGAAUGGUCCGGUGAAGCCUCCGGAUUGGCGCGCACCUCGGUGCCGCCGAGAAGUUGGCUAAACCUUNCNAUUUAUNGGAAGGUGAANUCGUANCA
Molecule: ribosomal RNA, 315 nt
Filed under: uncultured eukaryote
Lineage: Eukaryota
Description: partial 18S ribosomal RNA
Rfam family: Eukaryotic small subunit ribosomal RNA
Source: RNAcentral